UGAAUUGCUUCCAGUGCUUGCUAUACUGAGACACAGUCUAGAUGUUUCCAUGUGUUAUGAUACAAUUAUGGAGAGAUACCUCUGCCUGAAUUAAGGACUAAGUCACUCAAACUCCACCUGAUCAUGAAUGACAUUAAGUGAAAUUUUAUCUUUUCCUCAUCCUCAAAGAAAAGAAUAUGAAUAUAACCAAGGAGGGGACGGGGAUCAGAGGAGACUCCACUUUUACAUCCUUGGACAGUCAAAGGGCUGUACCCAUCUCUUCCCCAUAGGAACACCUA
Corapipo altera (White-ruffed manakin) is the source of this 278-nucleotide long non-coding RNA. RefSeq lists it as uncharacterized. The transcript has 3 exons. Lineage: Eukaryota; Metazoa; Chordata; Aves; Passeriformes; Pipridae. The record is from RefSeq and is a predicted model, not a curated record.